AUUGAACGCUGGCGGCAGGCCUAACACAUGCAAGUCGAGCGGUAACAGAAAGAAAGCUUGCUUUCUUUGCUGACGAGCGGCGGACGGGUGAGUAAUGCCUGGGAAUAUGCCUUAGUGUGGGGGAUAACUAUUGGAAACGAUAGCUAAUACCGCAUAACGUCUUCGGACCAAAGAGGGGGACCUUCGGGCCUCUCGCGCUAAGAUUAGCCCAGGUGGGAUUAGCUAGUUGGUGAGGUAAAGGCUCACCAAGGCAACGAUCCCUAGCUGGUCUGAGAGGAUGAUCAGCCACACUGGAACUGAGACACGGUCCAGACUCCUACGGGAGGCAGCAGUGGGGAAUAUUGCACAAUGGGGGAAACCCUGAUGCAGCCAUGCCGCGUGUAUGAAGAAGGCCUUCGGGUUGUAAAGUACUUUCAGCAGUGAGGAAAGGGGUGUCGUUAAUAGCGCCAUCCUGUGACGUUAACUGCAGAAGAAGGACCGGCUAACUCCGUG
RNAcentral lists this ribosomal RNA (492 nucleotides) under uncultured bacterium. Its description in RNAcentral is "bacterial SSU rRNA". It matches the Rfam family "Bacterial small subunit ribosomal RNA", at positions 30 to 507 of the family's 1533-position model. The record is from RNAcentral.